AUUGAACGCUGGCGGCAGGCCUAACACAUGCAAGUCGAACGAGUGGCGGACGGGUGAGUAAUGUCUGGGAAACUGCCCGAUGGAGGGGGAUAACUCCUGGAAACGGUAGCUAAUACCGCAUACCAUCGGAUGUGCCCAGAUGGGAUUAGCUAGUAGGUGGGGUAACGGCUCACCUAGGCGACGAUCCCUAGCUGGUCUGAGAGGAUGACCAGCCACACUGGAACUGAGACACGGUCCAGACUCCUACGGGAGGCAGCAGUGGGGAAUAUUGGACAAUGGGCGAAAGCCUGAUGCAGCCAUGCCGCGUGUAUGAAGAAGGCCUUCGGGUUGUAAAGUACUUUCAGCGGGGAGGCGUUACUCGCAGAAGAAGCACCGGCUAACUCCGUGCCAGCAGCCGCGGUAAUUC
RNAcentral lists this ribosomal RNA (406 nucleotides) under uncultured bacterium. Its description in RNAcentral is "partial 16S ribosomal RNA". It matches the Rfam family "Bacterial small subunit ribosomal RNA", at positions 30 to 526 of the family's 1533-position model. The record is from RNAcentral.